AUGCAGGACAUCUGGCGUCAUAUACAUUUCCUACUGCCAAUGCAAGAUGCUGCCCGUGCUGCCUGUGUGUCUCACUCCUUUCUAUGCUCCUGGAGAUGCUAUCCCAAUCUUAUCUUCACGGAAGAAACAAUGUGCUCCAAAGAAAAUUUACGUAAGAGAACAGUGGGAUCAAAUGGUAUACAAGACUACAACAACAAUAUCCACCACGUUUUAACAAACCACUCAGGCGCUGGCGUGAGGAAAUUCAGGCUUGAAUAUCAUGUUCCUUAUGAUGCAAAAUCAUAUCACCGUCUCAGUAGUUGGCUUCAGAUCGCUGUCACACCAAGUAUUGAAGAGCUCAACCUUGUAGUAUGGAAAAGAAAGAAAAAGGCAACGUUUAACUUUCCAAUCACACUUCUGUCUGACAUGUGUAAAGGCUCAAUUCAGCAUCUUCACCUUGCCAAUGUGGACCUGCAUCCAACAUUUCAACUUGGUUUGAGAACCCUGAAAUCGCUGCAUCUGCAUGGCGUGAAUAUUACGGGGGACGAGUUAGGGUGCCUUCUAUCUAAUUCCUUUGCUUUGGCACACUUGAGACUUCAAUAUUGUCAUGACCUCAUUCGCCUGGAGAUACCUUGUCUGCUGCAGCGGCUUAGGUUCCUGGAGGUGCUUGAAUGUAGCCUUCAGGUGUUAGAGAUCAAUGCCCCAAAUAUCUCGAGAUCCCGCUUACUAGAUUUUAAUGUGAAACUCUCGCUUGGAAAGUCGCGGAAGAUGAAGUACCUGAUGUUGAACAAUAGCUGUGUCAUCAGUUAUGCUAUUGACAACCUUCCUUCCUGCGCGCCGAAAGUUGAGACUCUUACCAUACAUUCUAGUUAUGAGAUUAUUAAUGCACCAGUGGCAUCUGGCAGAUUUUGCCACCUCAAGAUCUUGAUUAUUUAUUUUUUUGGAUUCCAUUCUCAUCGGGACUAUGAUUAUUUAUCCUUGGUUUCUUUUUUUGACGCUUCUCCUUUGUUGGAGAAGUUUGUCUUGUUUGUAUCGCCAGUGCAGUCCAAGUAUGACUGGUUUGAGGGAGAUCCCACAUCUCUGAGACAAAUGUCAGAACACCGCCAUCGCAACCUCAAGAGUGUGAAGAUCAGUAGUUUCUGCCCCCAAAAAAGCAUGGUUGAGCUAGCACGUCAUAUUCUUGAGAAUGCAACAUCACUUGAGUGCCUUACAUUGGACACCACUCCUGCUAGCUACCGGUGUUCUGGUGAUAUACUGGACAGACAAUGCCCUCCACUGGAAACUGAAUGUAUAAGGGAUGCACAUAAAUCACUCUUGGCUGUGAGAACAUACAUCGACGGGAAAGUUCCCUCUACAGUCAAGUUAAACCUAAUAGGGCCUUGCACCCGGUGUUAUGCCCUGUGA
RNAcentral lists this ribosomal RNA (1383 nucleotides) under Triticum aestivum (bread wheat). RNAcentral's name for it is "partial small subunit ribosomal RNA". Lineage: Eukaryota; Viridiplantae; Streptophyta; Magnoliopsida; Poales; Poaceae. The record is from RNAcentral.